Molecule: non-coding RNA, 73 nt
Organism: Zootermopsis nevadensis
Lineage: Eukaryota; Metazoa; Arthropoda; Insecta; Blattodea; Termopsidae
Source: Rfam
GCCACGGUGGUCUAGCGGUUAGAACGUUGGCCUUGUAAUCCUGGGGUCUCGGGUUCGAUUCCCGGCGGUGCCC